AGUUUAAUGCAUUUUUUGUCAGGAGUGUAGACUUCAGGAUGAGGCAGAAUCCAGUUACUUUGAUAAUAUGACACCAAACUGAAGGUACUGACAUGUCUGUUGUGUCCACAGGGAGAGACGGGUGAUACUGGGCCAACUGGUGCUGCUGGAGCUCAAGGUGCCCCGGGGGCCCGAGGACCUCCUGGUGAACCAGGCCUACAGGGACCGCUGGUAAACUCUGAAACUAACUUGUGUCAGAACUCUUGGUGACACAAGUGGGUGACCUUAACUCAUUCCUUGUGUUCUUGCAUUUAGGGUGAAAAGGGGUUGCCUGGCCCACAGGGUCCCCCUGGAAUAAAGGGAACACUGGGAGCCCAAGGGCCCCGGGGGCCGCCUGGAGAGAUCGGCCGAGAUGGUCCCAAGGGGAACUGUGGAGAUCCAGGGGUGGUUGGUCCUGUUGGUCCACCAGGCCUGACGGUGAGUGGAGUGCUACCUUUGUGUUAACCAUGCUAAUAUAAUUUGGACAGUCGUUAGACAAGAUGAUCAGAAAUAAAAAAGCUUGACACAAGGAAGUUAGAAUUAACAUUUUUCUCUCUAGUUUGUUAUCUUCACAGUUUUUUUUUUAAAGUCACAGUUUUAUUUAAUAUCGGUUUUAUUUUACUAUAUUAUUGCUAAUGAUACUGAUUUUAGCUAACAGUAAACCAAUGUAAUGACUCAAACCAAAGUUAACCAACAUUGACUUUCUCCACUAAUAGCCAACACUGAGCCAGUAGUUUGUUUUGGAGCUUCCUUAACUAAGGCAUUGGUUACUUUAUCAUCUGUGUGACAAUACUUCAAAGCUUUGCAAAGACUAUUUGGAACACUGGAAAUGGUAUUUAUAUAGCGCUUUUCUAGUCCCUAAGGACCCCAAAGCGCUUUACACAUCCAGUCAUCCACUCAUUCACACACCCAUUCACACACUGGUGAUGGCAAGCUACAUUGUAGCCACA
This 968-nucleotide long non-coding RNA is filed under the name Oreochromis niloticus (Nile tilapia). RNAcentral's name for it is "lncRNA (ENSONIG00000027921.1)". Lineage: Eukaryota; Metazoa; Chordata; Actinopteri; Cichliformes; Cichlidae. The record is from RNAcentral.